This 254-nucleotide ribosomal RNA is filed under the name uncultured bacterium. RNAcentral's name for it is "partial 16S ribosomal RNA". It matches the Rfam family "Bacterial small subunit ribosomal RNA", at positions 524 to 776 of the family's 1533-position model. The record is from RNAcentral.
UACGGGGGGGGCAAGCGUUGUUCGGAAUUACUGGGCGUAAAGGGCGCGUAGGUGGCCAACUAAGUCAGACGUGAAAUCCCUCGGCUUAACCGGGGAACUGCGUCUGAUACUGGAUGGCUUGAGUUUGGGAGAGGGACGCGGAAUUCCAGGUGUAGCGGUGAAAUGCGUAGAUAAUCAGGAGGAACACCGGUGGCGAAGGCGGGUCUCUGGGCCGAUACUGACGCUGAGGAGCGAAAGCUCGGGGAGCGAACGGG